This 346-nucleotide ribosomal RNA is filed under the name uncultured bacterium. Its description in RNAcentral is "partial 16S ribosomal RNA". It matches the Rfam family "Bacterial small subunit ribosomal RNA", at positions 338 to 681 of the family's 1533-position model. The record is from RNAcentral.
CCUACGGGCGGCAGCAGUGAGGAAUAUUGGUCAAUGGACGAGAGUCUGAACCAGCCAAGUAGCGUGAAGGAUGACUGCCCUAUGGGUUGUAAACUUCGUUUAUAGGGGAAUAAAAUGUGCCACGUGUGGGAUUUUGUAUGUACCAUAUGAAUAAGGAUCGGCUAACGCCGUGCCAGCAGACGCGGUAAUACGGAGGAUCCGAGCGUUAUCCGGAUUUAUUGGGUUUAAAGGGAGCGUAGGUGGAUUGUUAAGUCAGUUGUGAAAGUUUGCGGCUCAACCGUAAAAUUGCCGUUGAAACUGGCAGUCUUGAGUCCAGUAGCGGUGGGCGGCCUUCGUGGUGUAGCGG